Molecule: ribosomal RNA, 935 nt
Filed under: methanogenic prokaryote enrichment culture B19_47
Description: bacterial SSU rRNA
Rfam family: Bacterial small subunit ribosomal RNA
Source: RNAcentral
AGAGUUUGAUCAUGCUCAGAACAAACGCUGGCGGCGUGCCUAACACAUGCAAGUCGUACGAGAAGUCCGCUUCGGUUGAUGAGAAAAGUGGCGCACGGGUGAGUAACGCGUGGAUAAUCUACCCUUUAGUCUGGAAUAACUUAUCGAAAGGUGAACUAAUACCGGGAUAAUAUCCCCGAUUUCUUCGGCGAUCGGGAUCAAAGAAGGCCUCUGCUUGCAAGCUUUCACUGAAGGAUGAGUCCGCGUACCAUUAGCUAGUUGGCAGGGUAAUGGCCUACCAAGGUUAUGAUGGUUAGCUGGUCUGAGAGGAUGAUCAGCCACACUGGAACUGAAACACGGUCCAGACUCCUACGGGAGGCAGCAGUGAGGAAUAUUGCGCAAUGGGGGCAACCCUGACGCAGCAACGCCGCGUGAGUGAGGAAGGUUUUCGGAUUGUAAAGCUCUGUCGAGCGGAAAGAAGUGCAUGGUGGUUAAUAUCCAUCAUGCUUGACGGUACCGCUAAAGGAAGCACCGGCUAACUCCGUGCCAGCAGCCGCGGUAAUACGGGGGGUGCAAGCGUUGUUCGGAAUCAUUGGGCGUAAAGCGCGUGUAGGCGGCUGGACAAGUCAGAUGUGAAAGCCCUGGGCUUAACCCAGGAAGUGCAUUUGAAACUGUUCAGCUAGAGUAAGGGAGAGGAAAGUGGAAUUCCUGGUGUAGAGGUGAAAUUCGUAGAUAUCAGGAGGAACACCGGUGGCGAAGGCGACUUUCUGGCCCUAUACUGACGCUGAGACGCGAAAGCGUGGGUAGCAAACAGGAUUAGAUACCCUGGUAGUCCACGCUGUAAACGAUGUUCACUAGGUGUUGGGGGUAUUGACCCUUCCAGUGCCGCAGCUAACGCAUUAAGUGAACCGCCUGGGGAGUACGGUCGCAAGAUUAAAACUCAAAGGAAUUGACGG